Molecule: ribosomal RNA, 442 nt
Filed under: uncultured bacterium
Lineage: Bacteria
Description: partial 16S ribosomal RNA
Rfam family: Bacterial small subunit ribosomal RNA
Source: RNAcentral
CCUACGGGAGGCAGCAGUGGGGAAUAUUGGGCAAUGGGCGCAAGCCUGACCCAGCAACGCCGCGUGAAGGAAGAAGGCUUUCGGGGUGUUAACUUCUUUUGUCAGGGGAGCGUAGAAGACGGUACCUGACGAAUCAGCCACGGCUAACUUCGUGCCAGCAGCCUCCGUAAUACGUAGGUGGCAAGCGUUGUCCGGAGUUACUGGGGGUAAAGGGCGUGUAGCCGGGUUGACAAGUCCGAUGUGAAAUCCUGGGGCUUAACCGCAGAACUGCAGUUGAAACUGUUGAUCUUGAGUACGGGAGAGGCAGAUGGAAUUCGUAGUGUAGCGGUGAAAUGCGUAGAUAUUAGGAGGAACACCAGUGGCGAAGGCGGUCUGCUGGACAGCAACUGACGGUGAGGCGCGAAAGCGUGGGGAGCAAACAGGAUUAGAUACCCCUGUAGUC